CAAAGGCUUGGUCCUGACUUUAUUAUCAACUCUAGCGAGACUUACACAUGCAAGCAUCCGCGCUCCCGUGAGAAUGCCCUUUAGUUCCCCACCCGGAAACGAGGAGCUGGUAUCAGGCACAAAUUUUUAGCCCAUGACGCCUUGUUCAGCCACACCCCCAAGGGAAUUCAGCAGUGAUAAACAUUAAGCCAUAAGUGAAAACUUGACUUAGUCAAAGCUAAGAGGGCCGGUAAAUCUCGUGCCAGCCACCGCGGUUAUACGUGAGGCCCAAGUUGAUAAACAUCGGCGUAAAGGGUGGUUAGGAGAAAAAAAGAAACUAAAGCCAAACGCCUUCAGAGCUGUUAUACGCCCACGAAGAGCAGAGACACAACCACGAAAGUGGCUUUAUUUGAUCUGACCCCACGAAAGCUAGGGCACAAACUGGGAUUAGAUACCCCACUAUG
Molecule: ribosomal RNA, 443 nt
Filed under: Symphodus bailloni (Baillon's wrasse)
Lineage: Eukaryota; Metazoa; Chordata; Actinopteri; Labriformes; Labridae
Description: partial small subunit ribosomal RNA
Rfam family: Bacterial small subunit ribosomal RNA
Source: RNAcentral